UGAGGAAUAUUGCACAAUGGGCGAAAGCCUGAUGCAGCAACGCCGCGUGAGGGGCGAAGGCCUUCGGGUCGUAAACCUCUUUUCUGGGGGACGAGUAAGGACGGUACUCCAGGAAUAAGUCUCGGCUAACUACGUGCCAGCAGCCGCGGUAAAACGUAGGAGGCGAGCGUUAUCCGGAUUCACUGGGCGUAAAGCGUACGCAGGUGGCUUCGUUAGUCGGACAUGAAAGCUCCUGGCUUAACUGGGAGAGGUUGUUCGAUACUGCGGGGCUUGAGGUUGUGAGAGGGACGUGGAAUUCCCGGUGUAGUGGUGGAAUGCGUAGAUAUCGGGAGGAACACCAGUGGCGCAAGCGGCGUCCUGGCCCACACCUGACGCUGAGGUACGAAAGCGUGGGUAGCAAACAG
This 404-nucleotide ribosomal RNA is filed under the name uncultured bacterium. Its description in RNAcentral is "bacterial SSU rRNA". It matches the Rfam family "Bacterial small subunit ribosomal RNA", at positions 355 to 775 of the family's 1533-position model. The record is from RNAcentral.